ACACAUGCAAGUCGAACGCCCCGCAAGGGGAGUGGCAGACGGGUGAGUAACGCGUGGGAACGUGCCCUUCGCUUCAGGAUAGCCUCGGGAAACUGGGAGUAAUACUGAAUACGCCGUAUUGGGAAAGAUUUAUCGGCGAAGGAUCGGCCCGCGUUAGAUUAGGUAGUUGGCGGUGUAAUGGACCACCAAGCCUACGAUCUAUAGCUGGUCUGAGAGGAUGAUCAGCCACACUGGGACUGAGACACGGCCCAGACUCCUACGGGAGGCAGCAGUGGGGAAUCUUGGACAAUGGGC
RNAcentral lists this ribosomal RNA (294 nucleotides) under uncultured bacterium. RNAcentral's name for it is "partial 16S ribosomal RNA". It matches the Rfam family "Bacterial small subunit ribosomal RNA", at positions 51 to 376 of the family's 1533-position model. The record is from RNAcentral.